UUAUGAAAGCGUACAGAGGGUGUACUAUAUUGCAUAGAUUAUGAAUUAGUAAAAUCUGGCAACAUGCUAGUGUUUAUUUAGUUCUGUCUUCUGUUUUUUAAGUACAUAAGAACAACUCCAACAUCACAAGGGAAAAUAAAAGGAGGCAGCCCUGUAUUACAUGUCCCUACAAUGCAUGAUAUUACAUCUUGUUUCAUCACAAUUCAGUCGUCAUUACCAUCCAUUCAUGUAUAUCCAUUGAUUUGAAAUCUAUGGUUGAGAUGAAGGCAGCAAGCGUUUCAAAUUUCCAUAAGAUGUUUUUGAAACUUUCUCAGCCUUGUUUUUUUGCUGGAUUCUGUCACACCCUGGCUUUUAAAAUAAGACCAGAGUCGUCAUAUGUGUGCCCAGGAAGUCCACACAAACGACAAAGAAUAGAAAUAUCAGAAAACAAUGUUAUAUAUAGCGGAAAACAUAUUUAUAUUAACACUUACAAACAUCAGAGUACGCGGAAACAGUAGCUAAACUUCUUAGGCUCCAUUCUUCUCAGGGACGGUUGACUGGGGGCUCCGUACGCCAAGCACUUCCCAUAAGCUUCUAGAAAACUCCAUGACAUCUAUGUCCUUCUUCUGAGCAGCACUUUACUACACACUGGGGGUGUGGGGGUAAUAGCAAGGGUGAGUUCAUGUCGAACUCAAC
Molecule: long non-coding RNA, 675 nt
Filed under: Sorghum bicolor (sorghum)
Lineage: Eukaryota; Viridiplantae; Streptophyta; Magnoliopsida; Poales; Poaceae
Description: long non-coding RNA (SBIC_LNC018818)
Source: RNAcentral